UUACGGUCAAAUCACGCUGAAAAACACCGGUUCUCGUUCGAUCACCGAAGUUAAGCAUCGUAGAGCCAGGUCAGUACUUAGAUGGGGACCGCUUGGGAACACCUGGUACUGUAAG
This 115-nucleotide ribosomal RNA is filed under the name Acanthosepion pharaonis. Lineage: Eukaryota; Metazoa; Mollusca; Cephalopoda; Sepiida; Sepiidae. The record is from RNAcentral.